GCCUAUACAUGCAGUCGAGCGGACAGAUGGGAGCUUGCUCCCUGAUGUUAGCGGCGGACGGGUGAGUAACACGUGGGUAACCUGCCUGUAAGACUGGGAUAACUCCGGGAAACCGGGGCUAAUACCGGAUGCUUGUUUGAACCGCAUGGUUCAAACAUAAAAGGUGGCUUCGGCUACCACUUACAGAUGGACCCGCGGCGCAUUAGCUAGUUGGUGAGGUAAUGGCUCACCAAGGCGACGAUGCGUAGCCGACCUGAGAGGGUGAUCGGCCACACUGGGACUGAGACACGGCCCAGACUCCUACGGGAGGCAGCAGUAGGGAAUCUUCCGCAAUGGACGAAAGUCUGACGGAGCAACGCCGCGUGAGUGAUGAAGGUUUUCGGAUCGUAAAGCUCUGUUGUUAGGGAAGAACAAGUACCGUUCGAAUAGGGCGGUACCUUGACGGUACCUAACCAGAAAGCCACGGCUAACUACGUGCCAGCAGCCGCGGUAAUACGUAGGUGGCAAGCGUUGUCCGGAAUUAUUGGGCGUAAAGGGCUCGCAGGCGGUUUCUUAAGUCUGAUGUGAAAGCCCCCGGCUCAACCGGGGAGGGUCAUUGGAAACUGGGGAACUUGAGUGCAGAAGAGGAGAGUGGA
RNAcentral lists this ribosomal RNA (635 nucleotides) under Bacillus subtilis. RNAcentral describes it as "bacterial SSU rRNA". It matches the Rfam family "Bacterial small subunit ribosomal RNA", at positions 46 to 665 of the family's 1533-position model. Lineage: Bacteria; Bacillati; Bacillota; Bacilli; Caryophanales; Bacillaceae. The record is from RNAcentral.